AGCUCGUUGGCGCAUUGGCUAGCGCGCCAGGCUCAUAACCUGGAGGCACCUGGAUCGAUACCAGGACGAGCUA
RNAcentral lists this transfer RNA (73 nucleotides) under Cyphellophora attinorum. RNAcentral describes it as "Phialophora attae tRNA". It matches the Rfam family "tRNA". Rfam says of the family: Transfer RNA (tRNA) molecules are approximately 80 nucleotides in length. The record is from Rfam by way of RNAcentral. Lineage: Eukaryota; Fungi; Ascomycota; Eurotiomycetes; Chaetothyriales; Cyphellophoraceae.